Long non-coding RNA from Psammomys obesus (fat sand rat), 449 nucleotides. RefSeq lists it as uncharacterized. The transcript has 3 exons. Lineage: Eukaryota; Metazoa; Chordata; Mammalia; Rodentia; Muridae. The record is from RefSeq and is a predicted model, not a curated record.
UCAACCCUUUGCUACACGUGGUCUUGAGUUCCUCUUCCAAUAAGACAUCUAGAGUUAUAAGAAAGCAAGCUUGAUCCUGCCACUGACAGACUUAGCACUCAUGGAACCACCACAGGCCAUGUUCACCUGGGCACACACUGGUUUGAUGUUUUGCAACCUCCUUGGUAUAAAAGACUGCAGCCUUCAAAGGCACACUCAAACCUGGCUUUGUGGCAAGGAUCCGCUAUAUCUCUAGAAGAAGAAUACCGGGGCUGGAGAGAUGGCUCAGUGAUUAAGAGCACUGGUUCCUCUUCUAGAAGACCAGGGUUCAAUUCUCAACACCCAUAUGGCAGCUCACAUCUGCCUUCUAACUUCAGUUCCAGGGGAUCCAAUUCCCUCACACAGACAUAUAUGCAGGCAAAAUAUUAAUGCACAUAAAAUAAAAAUAAACAUUAAAAAUUUUAAAAAGA